This 403-nucleotide ribosomal RNA is filed under the name Verrucomicrobiota bacterium. RNAcentral's name for it is "Verrucomicrobia bacterium partial 16S ribosomal RNA". It matches the Rfam family "Bacterial small subunit ribosomal RNA", at positions 355 to 776 of the family's 1533-position model. The record is from RNAcentral. Lineage: Bacteria; Pseudomonadati; Verrucomicrobiota.
UGGGGAAUAUUGCACAAUGGAGGGAACUCUGAUGCAGCGACGCCGCGUGAACGAAGAAGGCUUUCGAGUCGUAAAGUUCUUUUAUAUGGGAAGAUAAUGACGGUACCAUAAGAAAAAGCCCCGGCUAACUACGUGCCAGCAGCCGCGGUAAUACGUAGGGGGCUAGCGUUGUCCGGAAUCACUGGGCGUAAAGGGUUCGCAGGCGGAAAUGCAAGUCAGGUGUAAAAGGCAGUAGCUUAACUACUGUAAGCAUUUGAAACUGCAUAUCUUGGGAAGAGUAGAGGUAAGUGGAAUUUUUAGUGUAGCGGUGAAAUGCGUAGAUAUUAAAAAGAAUACCGGUGGCGAAUGCGACUUACUGGGCUCAUUCUGACGCUGAGGAACGAAAGCGUGGGUAGCAAACAGG